RNAcentral lists this ribosomal RNA (1062 nucleotides) under fungal sp. Its description in RNAcentral is "eukaryotic LSU rRNA". Lineage: Eukaryota; Fungi. The record is from RNAcentral.
AUUACCGAGUUAUACAACUCAUCAACCCUGUGAACAUACCUAAACGUUGCUUCSGCGGGAACAGACGGCCCCGUAACACGGGCCGCCCCCGCCAGAGGACCCCCUAACUCUGUUUCUAUAAUGUUUCUUCUGAGUAAAACAAGCAAAUAAAUUAAAACUUUCAACAACGGAUCUCUUGGCUCUGGCAUCGAUGAAGAACGCAGCGAAAUGCGAUAAGUAAUGUGAAUUGCAGAAUUCAGUGAAUCAUCGAAUCUUUGAACGCACAUUGCGCCCGCCAGUAUUCUGGCGGGCAUGCCUGUUCGAGCGUCAUUACAACCCUCAGGCCCCCGGGCCUGGCGUUGGGGAUCGGCGGAGCCCCCCGCGGGCACACGCCGUCCCCCAAAUACAGUGGCGGUCCCGCCGCAGCUUCCAUUGCGUAGUAGCUAACACCUCGCAACUGGAGAGCGGCGCGGCCACGCCGUAAAACCCCCAACUUCUGAACGUUGACCUCGAAUCAGGUAGGAAUACCCGCUGAACUUAAGCAUAUCAAUAAGCGGAGGAAAAGAAACCAACAGGGAUUGCCCUAGUAACGGCGAGUGAAGCGGCAACAGCUCAAAUUUGAAAUCUGGCUCUCGGGCCCGAGUUGUAAUUUGUAGAGGAUGCUUUUGGUGAGGUGCCUUCCGAGUUCCCUGGAACGGGACGCCACAGAGGGUGAGAGCCCCGUCUGGUUGGACACCGAUCCUCUGUAAAGCUCCUUCGACGAGUCGAGUAGUUUGGGAAUGCUGCUCUAAAUGGGAGGUAUAUGUCUUCUAAAGCUAAAUACCGGCCAGAGACCGAUAGCGCACAAGUAGAGUGAUCGAAAGAUGAAAAGAACUUUGAAAAGAGAGUUAAAAAGUACGUGAAAUUGUUGAAAGGGAAGCGCUUGUGACCAGACUUGGGCUUGGUUGAUCAUCCAGGGUUCUCCCUGGUGCACUCUUCCGGCCCAGGCCAGCAUCAGUUCGCCCCGGGGGAAAAAGGCUUCGGGAAUGUGGCUCUCUCCGGGGAGUGUUAUAGCCCGUUGCGUAAUACCCUGUGGCGGACUGA